This 468-nucleotide ribosomal RNA is filed under the name uncultured bacterium. Its description in RNAcentral is "partial 16S ribosomal RNA". It matches the Rfam family "Bacterial small subunit ribosomal RNA", at positions 28 to 507 of the family's 1533-position model. The record is from RNAcentral.
GACGAACGCUGGCGGCGUGCUUAACACAUGCAAGUCGAACGGAAAUGCCCUGCUUUUUUGGGUUACUCGAGUGGAGAACGGGUGUAUAACGCGUGUGUAACCUGCCCUUCUCUUUUGGAUAACUUCAGGAAACUGGAGCUAAUACCGGAUAUUCUCUCCUGCUGCAUUGUGGGGGUUGGAAAGUUUCGGCUGUUGGGGAUGGGCUCGCUGCUUAUCAUCUUGGUUGUGGGGUAGUGGCUUACCAUGGCGUUGGCGGGUAGCCGGCCUGAGAGGGUGACCGGCCAAAGUGGGAGUGAGAUACGGGCGAGAGUCGUAGGGGAGGCAGCAGUAGGGAAUAAUGCAUGAUGGGGCGAAGCCGGAUGAAGCAACGACGCGUGCGGGAUGAAGGCCUUCGGGUUGAAAACAGAUUGCGCCGGUGACGAAGUGGGAGUGACGGUAAUGGGUAAAGAAGCACCGGCUAACUACGUG